This 274-nucleotide ribosomal RNA is filed under the name uncultured bacterium. RNAcentral's name for it is "partial 16S ribosomal RNA". It matches the Rfam family "Bacterial small subunit ribosomal RNA", at positions 523 to 796 of the family's 1533-position model. The record is from RNAcentral.
AUACGGAGGGUGCGAGCGUCAAUCGGAAUUACUGGGCGUAAAGCGUACGUAGGCGGUUGGUUAAGUUAGAUGUGAAAGCCCCGGGCUUAACCUGGGAACUGCAUUUAAAACUGGCGAACUAGAGUUGAGUAGAGGGGAGUGGAAUUUCAGGUGUAGCGGUGAAAUGCGUAGAGAUCUGAAGGAACACCAGUGGCGAAGGCGACUCCCUGGACUCGAACUGACGCUGAGGUACGAAAGCGUGGGUAGCAAACGGGAUUAGAAACCCUAGUAGUCC